This 11689-nucleotide long non-coding RNA is filed under the name Lactuca sativa (garden lettuce). Its description in RNAcentral is "long non-coding RNA (LSAT_LNC007735)". Lineage: Eukaryota; Viridiplantae; Streptophyta; Magnoliopsida; Asterales; Asteraceae. The record is from RNAcentral.
ACGAUGUAAGGCAUAAGGUCUCAUGAUGUAAGCCAUGGCAGAUGACCUGAAACCCUAAUCUUCGAGUAUUUAAUGGAAUGAGAUGGCUAGGAUUUCCCAUCCUCAUCCGCUCUCACUCUCUAGCCCCCUAAAAACCCUAACUUUGACCUCCUUGAGACUUUGGGCCAUUGUUGGUGAUUUUGAAGAGCUUACUUGGAGAUUUUGGUUCUUUGAAGUGAAAGAAGGCUCUUGUAGUGCUUCAUUUUGGCAAUCUAGCUUCUACCUCUUGGAUUUGCUGAGCUUGUGAGCAUUUGUAAGUCAUAAAGCUCUUAUCUUUUUGCCUUAUGCAUGCUAGAUCUAAGCUUUGGAACCUUUCUUUGCAUGGUUGGGUUGUUUAACAUGCAUGAGAUCUAUAAAGUUAGCAAAUUUAUGGAUUAUUGAGGCAUCUUCUAUAUGUGAGUCCUUGGAUCUGAGUUUUGGUGUGGGUUUUGGACUCCAAACUUGAGUCUUGAUCUUAAUACCCUUCUUUUAACCUAGUUAGUGUCUAGGUCAUGCAUUGGACAUGAAUGAUUGAAAAGCUACAAUUUUUAUGGUCCUUAAGGUCGAGGAAGGUGUUCUGGAAAGUCUUAGAGAUGUCGGAGUUGUCUACAUAGCUGCAGGAGCUGUUAGACAAGGGGUUCAUUCGACCGAGCAGUUUGCCAUGGGGAGCACCGAUCCUGUUUGUGAAGAAGAAUGAUGAGUCUCACCGGAUGUGUAUUGAUUACCGGGAGUUGAAUAAGCUAAUGGUAAAGAAGUGUUAUCCACUCCCGAAGAUUGAUGAUUUGUUUGACUAGCUUCAGGGUGCAUCAUGGUUUUUCGAUAUUGAUUUGCGUUCAGGUUACCAUCAGAUGAGGGUCAGAGAGGAGGAUGUGUAGAAGACUGCAUUUCGGACUCGUUAUGGUCAUUACGAGUUCGUGGUGAUGCCCUUCGGGCUCACCGAUGCUCCAGCCUCGUUCAUGUUGGAAUAGUGUCUAAGGCUGCAACUAUAUUAGACAAGUAGUUGAUCCGGUUGUGCAUGGUCCUUUUGGGUUGCCUUCACCAUAGCAACUUGAUAGGAUGAUUUAUUAAGAGAGAGUAAAUAUUAUUAAUAUAUUAUGGGAAUAAUAUAGUGAAUAAUAUAUUUGUUAUUUGAUUAAUAUAAGUCAUAGAAUUAAUUAGAAUUAAUUUGGUGACUUAAAGAGAUUAAUUAAAUAAAGGGGUAUAAACUGUCAAUUGUUUGAUAGUUAAGCUUUAGACUGUAAAUCCAUUUGGAUAUGGUAUGGACGAAUUCUAAGAGGUUUAGGAUAGCUAAAAUCGUCCAUAUGAUUAUCUUAGGAAUGGAUUUGGAUAGCCUUAAGAGAAGAUUAUCCAAUUAGGGUUUAGGUUGUAACCCUUAAGGAGUCUACAAGUAUAAAUAGACCCUAUGGCUGAUGGAAUUCGACACUUGACCUAAAGUAAGGAACCUCUGGUCGAAAUUCCUCCCCUCUCCUCUCUCCUAAAUCAUUCUUCUUGCUUUGGUGUUUGUAAGCCAUUAGAGGAGUGACAUUUGUGACUCUAGAAGCUCCAAGACCUCAAGAUCAACAAGGAACUCAAAGGUAUGAUUCUAGAUCUGUUUCAAUGUUGUUAUUUAACCUAAUUAGUCAUUAGAAGACUUGGAUUCAAAGCAUGUUUAUUAGAAAGCCUAGAUCCAAGCAUUAGGGUUUUGCAUGCGCACAUAGGAAAGUUCUUAUGGCUAAAACCCAUCAGUGGUAUCAGAGCCUAGCUUGGUUUUCUUUAAAUUGUUGCUUGAUUAACUGAAACAAACCUGCAAAAUUCGAUUUUUAGGUUUCUGAGUCACUGACUCGGCGAGUCCCAAGGUGGACUCGGCGAGUAGGCCUGACUCGGCGAGUCCCCUUGUGCACUCGGCGAGUCCAGGCGUCAGGAAUGGCCAGAUUCGGGAUUUCUUUGUGUUUAUCUUAUCUUAACUUACCAUAAACUAAUUAGAUCAACAUUAAUUCGUUUUUCUGAUAAAUAUAACUAUUAUCUUGAUCUAGUUAAAGGUAAUUAUCAACUAAUUAAAUAUUUAAUUUCCUUAUAUGAUAAUUAAUUAAUUAUUUUAAUUAUUUUGGUAAUUAUCUUAAAAAGAAAUCUUGAAUAAAUCAAAUAUAGAUAAUUAGGAUAUUAAUUGUUAAUUGGAAUUAUUUGUUAUUUGAUCCUCCAUGUUUUAAAUGUUUAAAACUUGCCCUCAAGUUUUGAAAUUUAUAUUUGUGAUUAAAAGUUUUAAUUUAGACAACUUAAAUUUCAAACCCUAGAUUUUAAAAGUUUUAAAAUACAACCCUAUACUAAUAUGAUAUUACUAGAAUAAUAUAUAUAUGUAUAACUAAAUGCUAGUCUUACCGUUAGUAGGCCUCAUUCACGAAGCCGAUCUAUAAGGUGGGUAUAAGGUUGCGGCCUAUAAAAUGGCGCUUAAUGGGUGUACACUCACACCCACCGCUUGCUUGAUUGGUGGAGGGUCGUUAGCCGAACGGGUAGGAUAGGGCAACCUCAUCCUCUCAUUAAAAGUAUAAUAAGAAAUACAAAGUAACUACACAUAUUUUAAAAUUUCCCAAUCCUAGUUACUUUAGGAAAAGUGAAUUGAUGCAAUCCCAUGAAAUUACACUUUGCACCUUGCUAAGAUGUUAGUGGAGCGUGUGUGGUUUACCGGCACACUAAUUGGUUCUAAGCGAAGGUGGCAAAGGGUGAUUCAUUGUUUAUCAUAGUUCGAUGGAGCGUGUGUGGUUUACCGGCACAUCGAAUAGGUGAUCGUUACAAUGAAGGCACCAUGUGAAUUUGCAUGGUAAUUCACACCCGCUUUGUGAUCCUCGGCAUCCCAGUCACAAACAAGAGGGGCAUAUCGAGAUUUAAACAUGCCAUUGAAUAGUUUCAAUGAAUCUCAUCCGAACCUAGGAAUUCUCAAAAACACUUAGGACUAAUAGUUUAAGUUUUGUGAUGGAGAAUUAGUGAAUCGUCAUUCACUUACCUUCAAUUUAUUUGCAUGUUAGAUUACGGCAUCCCUUUUCUAGUAUGUAAAUGUUAUUGUUGGAUCCUAGCCCUAAUUUUCUUAUUGGGUGAUAAUUAGGGAUUCUUAUUCUAAUCUAUCUUUGUCCUUUUCUAAUUGUAGAUGUCGAACGCAAACAACGCUGCUGCUAGUUCUUUCACGUUGAUGAGCCUUUGCCAAAAGGUCACCUUCGAUGGAACGAACUUUAGCGAAUGGAUAAGAUACAUUCGCACCAUUGCUCGCUAUGAGGAUAAGGAGUAUGUCCUCGAUGAGAAGCUCGAGAAAAUCAACCCCGAAAUCGCUACUCCCGCCGAAAUCACCGCUUUUGAGACUCAUGAGCGAGAUGCAACGAAGGUACAUUGCAUCAUGAUCGCCACCAUGAACUCCGAAUUCCAAAAGUCCUACGAGGACAUGUACCCGUACGAGAUGCAUCAAGACUUAUUGGAGAGGUACCACCAAAACGCGAGACAAGAGAGGUACGAGAUUUUCACUAACAUGAUUUCCGCGAAGAUGGGUCAUGGAGAAUCUCUUACCGUGCACUUGCAAAAGAUGCAAAGGUAUGUCGACCGCCUUCGCAAGUUAAAUGUUGACUUCGGUGAGGAUUUGGCGAUCGACAUGGUGCUUCACUCUUUGCCUCCGAUGUACAAUCAAUUUAGGAUGACCUACCACAUGAACAAAGAAGAGGUCACCCUAAGCAAGCUCCAAGGUCUCUUGAGGGUUGCUGAGAGCAACUUCAAAGACAAGUCUGUUGCACCUACUCCCAAUCCGCCCGCUGCUCCUGUCUUGGCUAUUGGACAAGGGAAGGGAAAGAAGAGGAAAGCUUCAUCGAAGAACUAUCGCAAGGUGAAAGCCCGAGAUGGUGCCUCUUCUAGUGGGACCAAAGUUGAUCCCGCUAAGCCCUGCUCUAACCCGAAGGAGGCAGAGUGCCACCACUGCCACAAGAUAGGACAUUGGAAGAGAAGCUGCCCGGAUUACCUGCAAGCAAUCAAAGAAGGAAAGAUCAAGCCAUCUUUCGCAGGUAUAUAUACAAUCAAAUCUAACGAUUCUAAUCAUGCUAUUUCUUGGGUUCUUGAUACCGGUUGUGGUUAUCACAUUUGUUCUAAUGUGCAGGGACUAAGAAGAAGUAGGGAUGUGGAGCAAGGAAGGAUCAAUCUAAUCAUGGGGAACAGAAGAUCGUCGCCUGUGACCAAGAUUGGAGUGUAUUCCUUAGUGCUUAGGAAUAGUUUAGUUUUAGAUUUGAACAAUUGUUGCUAUUCGCCAGAAAUGGCAAGAAACAUCAUUUCAUUUCAUGGUUUAUAUAGACAAGGAUUUAGAUUUUCUUUUAAUAAUGAGAAUGGUUCUAUUUUGGCUUAUCUAAAUGGUGUCUUUUACUUUGAAGCUAUACCAUGUAAUGGAAUAUAUGAAACCGUUAUGAUUGUUGAUAACUUAGGAAAUGAUGUUUUGAAUAUUGAUUCUUCCACUAGUAUGGAUAAAGCAUCCUUGUGGCAUUGUCGUCUUGGACAUGUCAACAAGAAACGCAUAGCCCAACUCCAAAAGGAUGGAGUGUUGGAGUCAUUCGACCUUAGGGAAGAUGACACAUGCGAGUCUUGUUUGCUUGGAAAGAUGACUAAGUCACCCUUCACGAGUACAUGUGAAAGGGGCGAGGGUCUAUUGGACCUAAUACAUACCGAUGUAUGUGGACCGUUUAGAUCAACCACGAAGGAUGGGAACCGCUUCUAUGUGACUUUUACCGAUGACUAUAGUAGAUAUGGGUAUAUCUACUUAAUCAAGCAAAAGUCAGACACCUUUGAAAAGUUCAAAGAGUUCAAGAAUGAAGUGGAGAAUCAAUUGGGCAGGAAAAUCAAGAUGCUUCGAUCCGAUCGAGGAGGAGAGUACCUAAGUCUUGAAUUCCACGAUUAUCUCAAGGAGUGUGGAAUAGUUUCACAAUUGACGCCUCCUAGGACACCGCAGUUGAAUGGUGUGGCAGAAAGGCGUAAUCGAACCUUAUUGGAUAUGGUUCGCUCUAUGAUGAGUCGUGCUUCACUACCAAUCUCUUUUUGGGGGUAUGCCUUAGAGACUGCCGCCCAUAUCCUUAACCGAGUCCCUACUAAGAAGGUUGCCAAAACACCUCACGAGAUGUGGACAGGGAAAGCUCCCUCGUUGGCACAUAUCAAGGUUUGGGGUUGCGAGGCUUUCGUAAGACGAGAUACUCACGACAAGCUUGAACCUCGAAGUGAGCGAUGUAUUUUCAUCGGCUACCCGCAGACAUCCUUUGGAUAUCUCUUCUAUAGACCGAAGGACAAUGUUGUCUUCGUUGCGAGGAGAGGAGUUUUCCGAGAGCGAGAACUCAUAAGCCAAGGAGACAGUGGGAGGCAAAUCGAACUUGAAGAGAUUCAAGAGUCGAUAGAUGAAGGAACCUCUACCGCUGGCACUCAACCCGAGGAGGAAACUCCGGUUGAACCGAUUGACGAAUCCUUACCUCUUAGACGUUCCGAUAGAGUUAGAGUUCAUCCCCAGUUUUAUGGCUUUCAUAUUACUACCGAAGGGGACACGUAUAUUAGUGAUGGUACACUAGUAAAUCUUGAUGAACCUAAUAGCUAUAAGGAAGCCAUGGCAGGCCCGGAGUCUGCAAAAUGGAAAGAGGCAAUGGAUAGCGAGAUCCAAUCCAUGUAUGAUAACCAAGUUUGGAAUUUGGUUGAUUAUGUGCCCGGACGUAAGACCGUUGGGUGCAAAUGGAUCUUCAAGAAGAAGACCGACGUGGAUGGAAACGUACACACAUAUAAAGCGCGAUUGGUUGCGAAGGGCUUUACUCAAACUCCCGGAGUUGACUAUGAUGAGACCUUCUCACCAGUUGCGAAGAUUAAAUCUAUUAGAGUGAUGCUAGCUAUUGCCGCAUUUCAUGAUUAUGAGAUUUGGCAAAUGGAUGUCAAGACCGCUUUCCUUAACGGAAAGUUGGCUGAGGAUGUUUACAUGGCUCAGCCAGAGGGGUUUGUGGAUCCGAAGCAUCCGGAUAGAGUGUGUAAGCUUGAGAAGUCCAUUUAUGGACUUAAGCAAGCGUCUCGCAGAUGGAAUCUUUGCUUCGAUGAGAAAGUCAAAGAGUUUGGAUUUGUACGAAGCGAAGACGAAUCUUGUGUAUAUGUCAAAGCCAGUGGGAGUAUAGUAAGCUUCCUCGUUCUAUAUGUCGAUGACAUAUUACUCAUAGGAAACGACAUCCCGACUCUGCAGGAGGUUAAGUCCUGGCUCGGGAAGUGCUUCGCUAUGAAGGACCUCGGAGAGGCUUCUUACAUUUUGGGAAUAAGGAUAGUAAGAGAAAGAAGUAAGAGACUAAUUGGACUUAGUCAGAAUACUUACUUAGAGAAGGUACUAAAACGUUUUAGUAUGGAAAACUCAAAGAAGGGAGAACUACCGAUACAAAGUAAUGCCAAAUUGAGUAAGACUCAAAGUCCGAGUACCGAAGCUGAGAUAGCAGAAAUGAGCCGAGUACCAUACGCUUCCGCAGUUGGCUCAAUCAUGUACGCUAUGACUUGUACUCGCCCUGAUGUAGCCUUCGCUUUGAGCAUGGUUAGCAGAUAUCAAGGGAAUCCUGGCAAAGCACAUUGGAUUGCGGUGAAGAAUAUCCUUAAGUACCUUCGGAGGACGAAGGAAUGGUUCUUAGUCCUCGGAGGGAGUGAUGACUUGAAGGUGCGAGGGUAUAGUGACGCCAGUUUUCAGACCGACAGGGACAACUACCGUUCGCAGUCGGGCUGGGUCUUUACCCUAAAUGGAGGAGCAGUGACAUGGAAGAGUUCCAAGCAGGAAACCGUAGCUGAUUCAACGUGCGAAUCAGAGUACAUUGCAGCGAGCGAAGCGUCGAAGGAGGCAAUAUGGCUAAAGAACUUCAUCGGUGAUCUUGGAGUUGUACCUGCCAUAAAGGAGCCAAUGGAGAUUUUCUGUGAUAACGAAGGUGCGGUUGCCUUAACCAAGGAACCGAGGGAUCAUGGUAGAUCAAGACAUAUCGACAGAAAAUAUCACUUCAUUAGACAUCGUGUAGAAGAAGGACAACUCGUAGUGAAGAGGAUAUCAUCAGAAGAUAACCCAGCAGAUCCGCUUACGAAGGGACUGAGUAGGGUUAAGCACUUGCAGCAUGCUAGGAGUAUUGGGCUGAAGGAUGAUAUUAGCAUAGAUUAGAUAGUAUUAGAAACGUGUAAUAGAUAAAUGUAAUUAACAUUUGAUGAUUAAAUAAAGGAGUUUUAUUUAUGAGUAAUGUUACUAUCUUAUGUUAAUUGUUUAGCUAUUGUUUCACUUUGCAUGUUUUGACUUCCAGAAUAAUUGAGUUUAUUAGGAAUAAUCGAAUUGUUCAAAUGGUCCACAAUCGUUCAUAUGUUGGGAGUAGAUAUGAAUGAAGAUUGUCAUGAAUUGGUGUGUAGAAUGUCUAAAUGGUGUUAGACAUAGCAAAGGAUUGCUGCAACGUUCAUGAGUGCUUAUGAACUAGUUUUGAGCAUUGGAAUAAACCCGCGCUUGCUGGAAUCACCUUAUGGAAUACGAUAUAAAAGGUGAUCGCAAGACGAUAAUAUCAUAUAGUCUUAAAACCUAGAUAUAUGGUUUAUUAUUUGUUAAUUGAUUGUACAUUGAUAAUACGAAAACGCAUCAGUAACUUGGUGUUAUAAAACGUAUUGUUGUGUAUAGUUGGUUAAUGAAUAAGUAAAUGCAUAUAAGUCGAAGUUUAUCUGUAACUUUUAUCUAAGAAGGUAAAAGCGAUAUCUCGGCCGCUCGAUGAUUUGAUUUGACUUAUGUGCCGGGCCCGGUCAGAACUGAAUUGAUGUGUUCGAUUAAGUUCUAUGUCAAAUAAAUCAGAGAUCGAGAAACCUAAAUGCUUGACUAACCAUUCCAUAGGAUUGUCAGCAUGAUAUCUAACAGAGGACUGUACGUUCCCUUAUCUAAAGGACAAGAUUGAUUAGAUCAGAGUUGACAGCGUCUUUGAGAGCUACGAUUGCAAACCGAAUUGUACUUGUAUAGUUACUAGACUUAUCCAAGUGGGAGACUGUUGGAAUAGUGUCUAAGGCUGUAACUAUAUCCGGUUGUGCAUGGUCCUUUUGGGUUGCCUUCACCAUAGCAACUUGAUAGGAUGAUUUAUUAAGAGAGAGUAAAUAUUAUUAAUAUAUUAUGGGAAUAAUAUAAUGAAUAAUAUAUUUGUUAUUUGAUUAAUAUAAGUCAUAGAAUUAAUUAGAAUUAAUUUGGUGACUUAAAGAGAUUAAUUAAAUAAAGGGGUAUAAACUGUCAAUUGUUUGAUAGUUAAGCUUUAAACUGUAAAUCCAUUUGGAUAUACUAUGGACGAAUUCUAAGAGGAUUAGGAUAGCUAAAAUCGUCCAUUAGAGUUAUCUAGGAAUGGAUUUGGAUAGCCUUAAGAGAAGAUUAUCUGAUAGGGACUUAUCUGUAAUCCUUAAGGAGUCUACAAGUAUAAAUAGACCCCAUGGCUGAUGGAAUUCGACACUUGACCUAAAGUAAGGAACCUCUGGUCGAAAUUCCUCCCCUCUCCUCUCUCCCAAAUCAUCCUCCUUGCUUUGGUGUUUGUAAGCCAUUAGAGGAGUGACAUUUGUGACUCUAGAAGCUCCAAGACCUCAAGAUCAACAAGGAACUCAAAGGUAUGAUUCUAGAUCUGUUUUAAUGUUGUUAUUUAACCUAAUUAGUAAUUAGAAGUCUUGGAUUCAAAGCAUGUUUAUUAGAAAGCCUAGAUCCGAGCAAUAGGGUUUUGCAUGCGCACAUAGGAAAGUUCUUAUGGCUAAAACCCAACAGUUCAUGGACCUCAUGAACCGUGUGUGCAAGUCAAUGCUAGAUCGGUUUGUGAUUGUAUUCCGUGAUGAUAUCCUGAUCUAUUCCAAGACCUAGGAGCUGCAUGAGGAGCACUUGAGGGAGAUAUUAGAGACUUUAAGGAAUGAGAGACUUUAUGCAAAGUUCUCCAAGUGUGAGUUCUGGUUGCGUGAGGUGCAGUUUCAGUUUGUGGGACACCUUAUCAACGAGAAUGACAUUCUAGUCGACCUGGCCAAGGUGGAGGUCGUGAUGAGGUGGGAUGUUCUUAGAUCUUCAUCUGAGAUUUGAAGUUUCCUUGGUUUGGCAGUUUGUUAUCGCAGAUUCAUUCAAGAUUUCUACAAGAUAGCAUUUCCCCUAACACGACUGACGAAGAAGACUGCCACUUUUUGAUGGGGGUCUGAGCUGCAGGCAGCGUUUGAGACCUUCAGGCAGGGAUUGUGCGAGGCAUCGAUUCUAACCCUGUUGGAGGGUGUUGAGGAUUUCGUGGUUUAUUGUGACGUGUCUCUCAUGGGAUUGGGCAUUGUUUUAAUGCAGAAGGGUCAUGUUAAUGCUUAUGCUUCGAGGCAGCUGAAGCCACAUUAGACGAAUUACCUGACACAUGAUUUGGAGCUGGGGGCAAUGGUUUUUGCCCUCAAGAUUUGGCAACAUUACCUCUAUGGGGUCCAAUGUACUAUUUACACGGAUCACAAGAUCCUGACGUACUUGAUGGAUCAGCUGAAUCUGAAUCUGAGGCAACGUCGGUGGUUGGAUGUGGUGAAGGAUUAUGAUUAUGAGAUCAUUUACCAUCUGAGGAAGGCCAAUGUAGUGGUCGAUGCUCUCAGCUGUAAGGUGGUCGUGGCUCCGAUUAGGGAUAUUUGUAUGAGGAUGAGAAUGAUUACUCCACUCUUGGAGCAGAUUUGGGAGGCUUAGGUCCAGGAUAUGAAGGAAGAGUACCGAAAUAGUGAGCGCAUAGUGGGUCAGGUGGCUUCCUUCGAUAAUGAUAGUCGGGUUUAUUAACUCUCCAUCACAGAGUGUGGGUUCCUUACUGGGGAGGUGCACGUUAGGUUCUGAUAGAGGAGGCGUGUAAAUCGGGAUUCUCCAUUCAUCCUGGGGUGACAAAAAUGUAGAGAUUUUCGUCCUGAUUAUUGGUGACCCUGUAUGAAGUAGGACGUUGCUUGGUAUGUGGACAGGUGCUUGAUUUGCAGGAAAUUCAUGGCCGAACAUCAGCGACCCUAUGGCAAGAUGCAACCUUUAGAUAUUCCUAUUUGGAAACAGGAGGAGAUUACCAUGGAUUUUAUUAUGAAGUUGCCUUGGACAACGCGUGGAAUGGAUUCAAUUUGGGUCAUCGUGGAUCUAUUGACCAAGAGAGCAAACUUUAUUUUGAUUCAGGAGAGUAUCUCUACGAAGAAGUUAGUUGAUAUUUAUAUCAGGGAAGUUGUGACACGUCAUAGGGUGGCGGUUUCAGUGGUAUCAGACAAGUAUCUCAGGUUUACUUCCAGGUUUUGGAAGAGGUUUCACAAGGAGUUAGGUAAUCGCCUGCAUUUUAGCACGAGUUUUCACCCUCAUAUGGAUGGUUAGAGCGAGCGGACCAUCCAUACAUUGGAGGAUAAAUUGCGGGCGUGUGUUCUAGACUUCAGUGGUAGCUGGGAUACGUAUCUUCCGUUAACGGAAUUUUAGUAUAACAAUAGCUACCAUGCUAACAUCGAUCAACCUCCUUUUGAGAUGCUCUAUGGGAGGCAAUGCAGGACCCCGAUAUGUUGGGGUGAGGUCGGUCAGCGAUUCAUUGGGAGUACUGAGGUAGUUCUCAAGACCACUGAGUUGAUUCAAUAGGUUCGGAGUAGACUUCAGACAGCUCAUAUUCGGCAGAAAAGCUAUACCGACAAGCGUCGAUCAGACCUAGACUUUCAAAUUAGGAAUAUGUUUCUCCUGAAGGUGUCACCUCGUAAAUGUGUCAUUCAAUUCAGGAAGCAGGGCAAGCUAGGCCCCAGGUAUAUCAGUCCUUUUAGGGUUAUAUCCCGGGUGGGUAGGGUAGCAUAUCGGUUGGAUCUCCCAGAGGAACUCAGUCAGAUUCACAAUAUUUUCACGUCUCUCAGUUGCAGAAGUGUUUGGAUGUUGAUUCCGCAGUGGAAACAUUGAAAGGGUUCAGAAUGGAUGAUCGUCUGAACUACAUUGAGAGACCGGUAGCAAUCCUCGACGGGAAGACGAAGGCCUUGAGAAACAAAGUCAGAGAUUUGGUGAAGGCAUAGUGGCAGCAUCGAAAGGGUUCAGAAUGGACAUGGGAGCCUGAGGAUGAGAUGAUGGUGCAUUACCAAUAAUUAUUUACAGUGGCGUACUUUGAGGAUGAGGUCUGAUUCAAUUGGGGGAGAUUUGUAGCAACCGAAUCCUUGAGGUACUUAAAUUAUUGAAGUUUUGCAUUUUGGAUGAGGCUUAUGGCGUAAGACACAUUAGCCAUAACUUGAGAAUACCCAUUGAAUGUUUGACACGUAUCCUCGAACCUCACAAUGUGAAGCAUAAGGUCUCACGGCGUGAGCCAGGUCUGAUGACCCAAAACGCUAAUUUUCGAGUAUUUAAUGGAAUGAGAGGGCCAGGAUUGUCCAUCCUUAGCCUCUCUCACUCUCUAGCCCUCUGAAAUACAUAACUUCGACCUCUUUGAGACUUUGGGCCAUUGUUGGUGAUUUUGAAGAGCUUCAUUUUGGCAAUCUAGCUUCUACCUCUUGGAUUUGUUGAGCUUGUGAGCAUUUGUAAGUCAUAAAGCUCUUAUCUUUUUGCCUUAAUCAUUCUAGAUCUAAGCUUUGGAACCUUUCUUUGCAUGGUUGGGUUAUUUCACAUGCAUGAGGUCCAUAAAGUUGGCAGCUUUAUGGACCAUUAAGACAUCUUCUAUAUGUGAGUCCUUGGAUUUGGGUUUUGGUGUGUGUUUUGGACUCGAAGCUU